UGGAAAUGAUGAAAUAGAGAUAAUUGGGUGUUGAAUGUUGUGUGACUGGAAAAUUUUAAUGUGUAAGUUUAGUAAUUAAGUUUAAUAUUUUAUAGAUAAUCGAAUGUGUGUUUGUGUGUAUGUGUUCAUGGAGGCUAUUGAAAGGGGGCACUGAUUGGUGAUGCUGAUAUUGGAGUGCAUCUGAGGCUGUUGUAGAAAUACAUGGGCUGUUGAUUACAACAUUGCCGAUGAUUAUAACCCAAGAACAGCUCACCUAAGUAGCCUAGCACCCUAAAAUCUCUAACAGGUUCAUGAAACCUGUGAUCUGAUCCAA
Molecule: non-coding RNA, 313 nt
Organism: Ursus americanus (American black bear)
Lineage: Eukaryota; Metazoa; Chordata; Mammalia; Carnivora; Ursidae
Gene: SCARNA7
Product: small Cajal body-specific RNA 7
Source: Ensembl